Molecule: long non-coding RNA, 1484 nt
Filed under: Malus domestica (apple)
Lineage: Eukaryota; Viridiplantae; Streptophyta; Magnoliopsida; Rosales; Rosaceae
Description: long non-coding RNA (MDOM_LNC016927)
Source: RNAcentral
AGGUUUCAUUAUUUCGGGUCAAAUGGUACUUUACCAUUUCCUUGAGUAUAUAUCAUAUAUAUACACUCAUUGUAGUCAUAAGGUUUUUCAUUCUUAGUUCUUUCGAAUUAAGAGGUGCAACUCUAUGACAUAGUCAUAAAGUUCAAACCAUUCAACUGAGACGGUUUAUAAAUCCUUCUCGACUACCUUGGAGCUUUUGGUAUAGGAACUAGGUUGUUAUAUUUGUUGAUUAUUAUCUUGUCUCUCAAAGAACCAUUCUUUGAGUUCUAUCCCUUGUUCAUUUGCUCUUAGGCAAAUCACAUUGUAGGAUUACAAUGAACUACCCAACAAAACAACAUUUGUUAGUUGGUUUAUAGAAGCGAUAUCCAAAAGUUAAUUUAAGGAUAUCCCACAAGAUUGUUAUCAAACAAAUAUUGUUUAUUAGCUCACAACCCCAAAUCUUAACAUGUUUUAAGAUUUGUCUUUCUUUCCAACUACAUCUUAUGGAGUCAUGAAAAUAUUGGAAGAUCUUCUCAUUGACAAUCAUAUUGUUUUAGAAGUAUAUAUCCUAUAUAUGGGUAAUAGAUAACAUCUAACGAACUAAAUCUUAUUCGAGUUCGUUCUUCUCCUAAUGGAGAAUUACAUUAUCUUAUGAUGCUUAUUUCCUUGAUAUCUUUCAAGGAAACUGUUCUAAAGUGUUACCUUUAUCUUGGAUCAAAUCUAAGGAGGUAAAUACUUUAGACGUCUUACUCAUCAACUUACAUUUCUUGAAUUCUUUGAAACCUUUUACAAAGUAUUCGAACUUGUGUUUAUUCAAAAUAAACUAUAGUCCAACCGAGAGUGAUCUUCGGUGAAUGUCAUAUAACAUGAGUAGUAUUAUGUUUGUGGACAAGUGCCACUAACAUCUAAGUGAAUUAACCUCAACAACUUUGUGAUUCUUUCUUCUUUCCAAAAGAAUAAAGAUUCGAACAUUUCGCCUCUAUACAAUUUUAACAAGAAGGUAUUGGAUCCGGAUCUAACGAUCCAAAGCGUCCAUCUAUGACCAACUCGUAAUUUAUGUUUUAGAGGUAUCACAACUUUAGUUGGGAUUAGUCACUACCUUGCAACCUUUUGGGUUUUAAGCAUAAUUAUUUUCUAAACAGUUAACACUACCAUAUUAUCUCUACUAUAGAGAUAAUUAAUUAGAUUACAAUAAUCUAAUCAUUCAUUAAUAAAGAACAAUGUUUUGUCAAACAAAACAUUUAUCCAUUUCACAUAGUGACGGAAUUUAGUUCCUUAAAAUUGGAAUAUAAAGACAAUCUACGUUUUUCCAAUUUCUUUGGUAGUUCAUAUGAGGAAGUAAGUACCAUCUGCUUUCGCAGAGAUCUACAUUUGAUUCACGUUUCGAAUGUGAAGUACUUUCUCUUCUCUCAUUAAUCUUCUACUUCUUAUUAGCUACACUUUUACAACGAUUGUAAAACAUAGUUACUAAUACGGAAUCAAGCAUUCAAGUAGAAGAACCAACU